RNAcentral lists this long non-coding RNA (221 nucleotides) under Lathyrus oleraceus (garden pea). RNAcentral describes it as "Pisum sativum (pea) long non-coding RNA (PSAT_LNC037814)". Lineage: Eukaryota; Viridiplantae; Streptophyta; Magnoliopsida; Fabales; Fabaceae. The record is from RNAcentral.
UUUAGUUUUAUGUAUUUUAGAUUAUCGUUGCUCUGAUCUAUAACACUAGGCGGACACACGUUAUGUUUUUUUAUUCUGAGUUAUGGUUGCGAGAUUAAAGGUUAUAACUCCUGAUUUUUUGAGUUUUUUUUAUGUUGAAGGCAUAUUGCCUUGUUUGAGUUUGUACUUAAAUAAAAGUUAUAUUUGAACUUAUUCGAUUGAGUAGUUAUUUUUAAUGAUUA